Molecule: unclassified non-coding RNA, 268 nt
Filed under: Hevea brasiliensis (rubber tree)
Lineage: Eukaryota; Viridiplantae; Streptophyta; Magnoliopsida; Malpighiales; Euphorbiaceae
Source: RNAcentral
GAACAAAUAUUUUGGUGAUGUGUGAUAUGCAAAUUCCUCCAUAUCUACAAUCCAGGACAAGUAGCCUUUUGCAACUCAUCUUUCUUUUGACUCAUGCUUCACAAUCUCGGGUGGAGUACCGUUACCGUAUUCUAUUCAACGCAUGUUCGAGACCAGCUAGUCCCCACGCUCAACCGUACAAAUUCAAAAACAACUCCUACCCGUAAUCCUUCAUGUUGUGUGUAUUUUGGCAUCUUAGUCGUCACAGUUUAACCCGCAAACUUCCAAC